GGUAAUUAUAAUAACCAAAUUUGGCCUUAAAAAUGAAACUCCCUCUUCUUUGUGGAACUUUACAUAUAUUGCCCAACUUAGUUGAUGAUGAUCUGCCUUUUUUCAUUCUUUUAAAAAAUUCUUUAUAAUGAAGGAUAAUCUCUGGAUGGCAAAGGAAUAUAUUUCAUAAUGAAAAUGAUACAAAAAUAAAAGAAUAUUUUUUGAGAACAAAAAGGAAGCUACAUCUUUGAGAAAUAUUUUAGCUGGGACAUUGAUGCAUUGUUGGUGGAGUUGUGAACGAAUCCAACCAUUCUAGGGAGUAGUUUGGAACUAUGCUCAAAAAGUUAUCAAACUAUGCAUACCCUUUGAUCCAGCAGUGUUACUACUGGGCUUAUAUCCCAAAGAGAUACUAAAGAAGGGAAAGGGACCUGUAUGUGCACAAAUGUUUGUGGCAGCCCUUUUUGUAGUGGCUAGAAAUUGGAAACUGAAUGGAUGCCCAUCAGUUGGAGAAUGGCUGAAUAAAUUGUGGUAUAUGAAUAUUAUGGAAUAUUAUUGUUCUGUAAGAAAUGACUAACAGGAUGCUUUCAGAAAGGCUUGGAGAGACUUACACGAACUGAUGCUGAGUGAAAUGAGCAGGACCAGGAGAUCAUUAUAUACUUCAACAACAAUACUAUAUGAUGACCAGUUCUGAUGGACCUGGCCAUCCUCAGCAAGGAGAUCAACCAAAUCAUUUCCAAUGGAGUAGUAAUGAACUGAACCAGCUACGCCCAGAGAAAGAACUCUGGGUGAUGACUAAAAACCAUUACAAUGAACUCCCAAUCCCUAUAUUUAUGCCCACAUGCAUUUUUGAUUUCCUUCACAAGCUAAUUGUACAAUAUUUCAGAGUCUGAUUCUUUUUGUACAGCAAAAUAACGGUUUGGUCAUGUAUUCUUAUUGUGUAUCUAAUUUAUAUUUUAAUAUAUUUAACAUCCACUGGUCAUCCUGCCAUCUGGGGGAGGGGGUGGGGGGUAAGAGGUGAAAAACUGGAACAAGAAGUUUGGCAAUUGUUAAUGCUGUAACGUUAUCCAUGCAUAUAAUCUGUAAAUAAAA
This 1068-nucleotide long non-coding RNA is filed under the name Sarcophilus harrisii (Tasmanian devil). Its description in RNAcentral is "lncRNA (ENSSHAG00000031323.1)". Lineage: Eukaryota; Metazoa; Chordata; Mammalia; Dasyuromorphia; Dasyuridae. The record is from RNAcentral.